UGGGUGACAGAGAAUGGAUUCCAGGGCUCACUGUGUUCUUAAACCUUCGUACUCCAGAGGGCAAAGGAUACACAUUGCAUUAGAGGUGGAGCUCUCUUCAUUGAAUCCUAACAGGGACUGGCUGUAAAAUGUGGCUGCCUGCCAUGGGCAACAUUUGUAGCUUUUUAGGCUCCUGCAAUCUUUGGUAUCCUUGGGCUUUCUGGAGGACAAAGCAGGCAUUACUCAAUGAUACAAGGGUGGGAAUGGAGAAAGAAAAGAAAGCGUCUAAAAGACUUGUCCUGAAGAGGAUACAGCCAGGAGUAGAACUCUCCGUUUAUAGGAGUAUACAGUGUUGA
RNAcentral lists this long non-coding RNA (335 nucleotides) under Fukomys damarensis (Damara mole-rat). RNAcentral's name for it is "lncRNA (ENSFDAG00000029303.1)". The record is from RNAcentral. Lineage: Eukaryota; Metazoa; Chordata; Mammalia; Rodentia; Bathyergidae.